This 439-nucleotide ribosomal RNA is filed under the name uncultured bacterium. Its description in RNAcentral is "partial 16S ribosomal RNA". It matches the Rfam family "Bacterial small subunit ribosomal RNA", at positions 339 to 795 of the family's 1533-position model. The record is from RNAcentral.
CUACGGGCCGCUCCAGUGAGGAAUAUUGCACAAUGGGGGGAACCCUGAUGCAGCAACGCCGCGUGGAGGAUGACGCAUUUCGGUGUGUAAACUCCUUUUAUAUGUCAAGAAAAUGACGGUAGCAUAUGAAUAAGCACCGGCUAACUCCGUGCCAGCAGCCGCGGUAGUACGGAGGGUGCAAGCGUUACUCGGAAUCACUGGGCGUAAAGGACGCGUAGGCGGGUUGGAAAGUCAGGUGUGAAAUCCUACAGCUUAACUGUAGAACUGCACUUGAAACUUCUAAUCUAGAGUAUGGGAGGGGGAGAUGGAAUUAGUGGUGUAGGGGUAAAAUCCGUAGAUAUCACUAGGAAUACCUAAAGCGAAGGCGAUCUCCUGGAACAUUACUGACGCUAAGGCGUGAAGGCGUGGGGAGCAAACAGGAUUAGAUACCCCCGUAGUC